GAUUAGCUAUUGGUAGGGUAAGGGCCUACCAAGGCGACGAGGGAGCUGGUUUGAGAGGAUGGCCGCCCACUGGGCUGAGACACGGUGAGACUCCUACGGGAGGCAGCAGUGGGGAAUAUUGGACAAUGGGGGGAACCCAGAUCCAGCAAUGCCGCGUGUGUGAAGAAGGCCUGAGGGUUGUAAAGCACUUUCAGUGGGGAGGAGUGUUUGUUAGGUUAAGAGCUAAUGAACAGGACCUUACCCACAGAAGAAGCACCGGCUAACUCCGUGCCAGCAGCCGCGGUAAUACGGAGGGUGCGAGCGUUAAUCGGAAAUUACUGGGCGUAAAGGGUGCGGCGGGGGAUGAAUAAGUUAUCUGUGAAAUUCCUGGGCUUAACCUGGGCCGGUCAGCAUAAUACUUGUUUAACUCGAGUACCCCAGAGGGUAGUGGAAUUUCCGGUGUAGCGGUGAAAUGCGUAGAGAUCGGAAGGAACACCAGUGGCGAAGGCGGCUACCUGGCCUAAUACUGACACUGAGGCACGAAAACUGGGGAGCUUCUUCCUUAGAUACCCUGGUAGUCCACGCUGUAAACGAUGUCAACUAGCUGUUGG
This 590-nucleotide ribosomal RNA is filed under the name Legionella sp. legS016. Its description in RNAcentral is "bacterial SSU rRNA". It matches the Rfam family "Bacterial small subunit ribosomal RNA", at positions 239 to 826 of the family's 1533-position model. Lineage: Bacteria; Pseudomonadati; Pseudomonadota; Gammaproteobacteria; Legionellales; Legionellaceae. The record is from RNAcentral.